GACGAACCGUGCGAACGUUGUUCGGAUUCACUGGGCUUAAAGGGCGCGUAGGCGGCGCGACAAGUCGGGGGUGAAAUCUUCCGGCCCAACCGGAAAAGGGCCCCCGAUACUGGCGUGCUGGAGGGAGGUAGGGGCGCGCGGAACUUCCGGUGGAGCGGUGAAAUGCGUAGAUAUCGGAAGGAACGCCGGUGGCGAAAGCGGCGCGCUGGAUCUCACCUGACGCUGAGGCGCGAAAGCCAGGGGAGCGAACGGG
RNAcentral lists this ribosomal RNA (253 nucleotides) under uncultured bacterium. RNAcentral's name for it is "partial 16S ribosomal RNA". It matches the Rfam family "Bacterial small subunit ribosomal RNA", at positions 524 to 776 of the family's 1533-position model. The record is from RNAcentral.